RNAcentral lists this transfer RNA (85 nucleotides) under Acidobacteriota bacterium. Its description in RNAcentral is "Acidobacteria bacterium tRNA-OTHER". It matches the Rfam family "tRNA". Rfam says of the family: Transfer RNA (tRNA) molecules are approximately 80 nucleotides in length. Their secondary structure includes four short double-helical elements and three loops (D, anti-codon, and T loops). Lineage: Bacteria; Pseudomonadati; Acidobacteriota. The record is from RNAcentral.
GCGGGCGUAGCUCAAUUGGUAGAGCGUCCGGGGCCUAUCCUCCUUACCCUCGGGUUGGUUGCGAGUUCGAGUCUCGCCGCCCGCU